Molecule: ribosomal RNA, 497 nt
Filed under: uncultured bacterium
Lineage: Bacteria
Description: partial 16S ribosomal RNA
Rfam family: Bacterial small subunit ribosomal RNA
Source: RNAcentral
GAUGAACGCUGGCGGCGUGCCUAAUACAUGCAAGUCGAGCGAACAGACGAGGAGCUUGCUCCUCUGACGUUAGCGGCGGACGGGUGAGUAACACGUGGAUAACCUACCUAUAAGACUGGGAUAACUUCGGGAAACCGGAGCUAAUACCGGAUAAUAUAUUGAACCGCAUGGUUCAAUAGUGAAAGACGGUUUUGCUUUCACUUAUAGAUGAAUCCGCGCCGCAUUAGCUAGUUGGUAAGGUAAAGGCUUACCAAGGCGGCGAUGCGUAGCCGACCUGAGAGGGUGAUCGGCCACACUGGAACUGAGACACGGUCCAGACUCCUACGGGAGGCAGCAGUAGGGAAUCUUCCGCAAUGGGCGAAAGCCUGACGGAGCAACGCCGCGUGAGUGAUGAAGGUCUUCGGAUCGUAAAACUCUGUUAUUAGGGAAGAACAAAUGUGUAAGUAACUAUGCACGUCUUGACGGUACCUAAUCAGAAAGCCACGGCUAACUACGUG